UCCGCGGCAGAUAGCAGUCGCUAGCACACCACGCUUCUCGCCGCCGCUCGGGGAAACACGAGCGGAGAGUUUUCGGCCGGCUCGACCGCGGGAAAAGGGAGGAAAUCCUGGCGAACGUGGCGCGGCACGCGUGCCAUCUCGGGGCAGGAAACAAGAGCGCGGCGCUCUCCUGUCCGUCGCGGCCGCGGCCGCGGCGCAGCGCGUCGCGAGCGGAUUCGGCGAGCGGGAGGGUCGCGAGAGGACGCGAUGCGACGAGCGAGAGGAGACCGCGAGUGCCGGACCACGACCGCUGCCACGACCACGACCACGGCCGCGCGACCUGCUGCACCACCCCGGAGCGGAGAGGAGCGGCGAGACGCGGUUCCGCGUUUCGUGCGGUUCCGGUCACGUCGGUCACGUGGUCGCCGAUCUCUCCUGCCCCCCCACCUCCGCCACCGACGGAUCCCCUAGGUGAGCUUUCCCACCGGGAACGGGGGAGGGAGUGUCAACGGCAGGUCGACGGGUGGGGGCGGGAUCGUGACGAGGAGAGGCGGGAAGAGUGAGACGGAAACAACGAGGAGUCAAGCGAACCACCGGCGAAAGAGGAACGAGGAAGGAAAAGAGGAGGCGGAGGCGGACGUAUGACGACGAGGAGGAUAUCGAGGCUCGACGGUCACGACCACGUGGGGCUUCCUAGACGAAGGCGAAGCUUCCGAAACCGACGAUGAACGAAACGGAGGAACGAUCCCGGAUUUUGGUGGUGGAAAGACCGCGGAGAAAUUCACUGAUCGCUCCCCGACCGCGGAGCCGAUAGGGGAUGACCACGGAGGGUCAUUCUGUCGGGACGAGGAGGAGUCAACGUGGACGGCGGAGGCUGGAACGUAGGAAAGGGAGCCGUGGAAGCUGGUGAAUAAUCGACGAGCCGGCGGGAA
Megalopta genalis is the source of this 911-nucleotide non-coding RNA. Lineage: Eukaryota; Metazoa; Arthropoda; Insecta; Hymenoptera; Halictidae. The record is from RefSeq and is a predicted model, not a curated record.